AUCAAAAUGUCUAUUAGUUCUUCUGUUCUGUUGAAGGAAAGGCAAUAGAGAAGUUAUCACUAAUCCAUGAACACUAAUGAGUUUUUUGAGUCAUCAAAUUGGAUUCAGAACAGUGGUAGCGAUGGGAGGGAGGACUAAAUUUACUGCAUAAAAGCAAGUAGAAUUAUUUGGUGCUGUAAUAACACAUAUUUUUAUUGGCAGGACACUGAUGCAGAUUUAAUCAGAGGUGAAGAUGUAAAGCCUUGAGUUCCCACUGGAUG
Molecule: long non-coding RNA, 260 nt
Filed under: Bos taurus (domestic cattle)
Lineage: Eukaryota; Metazoa; Chordata; Mammalia; Artiodactyla; Bovidae
Description: long non-coding RNA NONBTAT011568
Source: RNAcentral